AGAGUUUGAUCAUGGCUCAGGAUGAACGCUAGCUACAGGCUUAACACAUGCAAGUCGAGGGGCAGCAUGGUCUUAGCUUGCUAAGACCGAUGGCGACCGGCGCACGGGUGAGUAACGCGUAUCCAACCUGCCUUACACUCUUGGACAGCCUUCUGAAAGGGAGAUUAAUACAAGAUGUUAUCAUGAGUAAGCAUUUUCACAUGAUUAAAGGUUUACCGGUGUAAGAUGGGGAUGCGUUCCAUUAGAUAGUAGGCGGGGUAACGGCCACCUAGUCUUCGAUGGAUAGGGGUUCUGAGAGGAAGGUCCCCCANAUUGGAACUGGAGACACGGUACCAAACUCCGUACGGGAGGCA
This 353-nucleotide ribosomal RNA is filed under the name uncultured bacterium. RNAcentral's name for it is "bacterial SSU rRNA". It matches the Rfam family "Bacterial small subunit ribosomal RNA", at positions 8 to 350 of the family's 1533-position model. The record is from RNAcentral.